UACGGAGGGUGCAAGCGUUGUCCGGAUUUAUUGGGCGUAAAGAGCUCGUAGGCGGUUUGUCGCGUCUGCUGUGAAAACCCGAGGCUCAACCUCGGGCCUGCAGUGGGUACGGGCAGACUAGAGUGCGGUAGGGGAGAUUGGAAUUCCUGGUGUAGCGGUGGAAUGCGCAGAUAUCAGGAGGAACACCGAUGGCGAAGGCAGAUCUCUGGGCCGUAACUGACGCUGAGGAGCGAAAGCAUGGGGAGCGAACAGG
Molecule: ribosomal RNA, 253 nt
Filed under: uncultured bacterium
Lineage: Bacteria
Description: partial 16S ribosomal RNA
Rfam family: Bacterial small subunit ribosomal RNA
Source: RNAcentral